GGCGUGAAACUUCCUUGUACCAGCCCUGCCCCAGAGUGCCUGCUAAGGAAGAGCUGUGAUUCUGGCCUGGAGACUAUCUCUUGCCUAUGGCCAAUCUGAGAAAGGAACAUCAGUUCCUUCCUCCUUGUCCCGUCUCCUGUGUUUUCCCAUCUGGGCAUGUCUGUGGACAGGGAAAAGAAAUUCACAAAAUGGGUAGCUUUGUAAGUAGCUGCAAACAUGCUGGUUGUGUCACCUCUUCCAUUCCUCUGUUCCCAGGAAGGAGAAAGAAAGUGGGUUUGUAAGUUGUCAUGUUGUUUGCCUGCCUAUGGCCCGAUCUCCAGCAGAGUGCUACAUCCCCAUCCUCCCUGCCUCCUGGGGCCUGGGGCCCAGCCAGGGCACCCAUCCCUGCUCCAGGGUCCAUCUCUCAGCAGGACUCUGUGCCCAGGACUCACUUUUCAGCAGGGUUCCACGCACUAGGUGCAUGGUGGCUACUGAGCCUUCUCAAAUCUCUGGCCCUUCAUUGCCAUAGUGGGAGCUGCCCGGGCACUGAGCCCAUUGCAAACGUCUUUCAUCAGAGGCUUUCACAACCCCUGCAAACCUUUGCCAGGGAGCUCAGGCCCAGGUCAGGGUUACAGAUGGGGACACCGAGGCACAGGCUGGGGAAGUGGCCAGGCAUGUCAGUGACUGUCAGAGACAGGACAAAAGCCAGGACAGUCCCAGCCCAUGUCCCACUCCCUAGAGCACCCUGCACUUGCUGGGAUUAUGGAGCUGCAGCAUUUCUCUGCAGGCAGCAUGUGCACUGCUCUGGACCUGGACACUGCACAGGCCGGCUCAGUUUCCUUGUUGAUGAAGGAAGAUAACUUGCCCGCCAAGUACUCUGGUGUUUACAGGAGCCCUCUUCGGCACUUGUAACCACAGAAACACAGCCAGGGAUGUGACCCAAGUCUGGCAAACUCCUUCCUUCAGCAGCUGGGGUUAUUUCUGGGAGGCUUGGGAGGGGCCAGACCUGAUUGGCUAGGAGCUGUAAUAAAUGCCUGGGCAGCGGCACCUGCUCUAGGUGCUGGGGCUUGUUGACAGACAGUGCAGGGACAGUGGCACUGCAGCAGACUGCAGCCCUUUCCUCCAGGGCUUUGGGAAGCACCUGGAACAGCUGGUUAGCGUGACAGUCCAUUGGCUCCUUCUUCUGGGAAGCCUGAUGUGACCAUGAAGACCAAACUGACUAGUCAGGAUGACUUGGAGACUCCAGGGCCAUGCCAGGCUGAGGCAGGCUCCCACAGGCUUGGAAGCAUCUGCUCCGUGCUCCUAUCUAGAGUUAAGUGUCUACUUCAGCCCCACAAGCUAGGGGUGCGUUUGGCCAGUACUCAGCAGAGACGAGCCUGCCUGCAGCCCGACUCAUCCAAACCUGGCAGCUGCCCCUGGAAGAAGCUGCUGAUUGCCCUAGGAAUAAUGAUCACCAUUUCACUAAUGGUCCUGCUGCUCCUCUGGCAUUACAAGUGCAUUGUCAUUGACCGGUACUGUGAGGGGAACGGGGAGGUGCUGCCCCCCUUGUUCAAAAUUCUUCAGAGAAAGGAGACAUGAAACUUGGCUGUGGCCUGCUCCCAGCGAGACCACACCCCUGCCUUCCUGUCUGCAAGGACGCCGUGGACCUCUGCUGAGCAGUUCUGACCGGGCCUCUCCUGGGGACAGCAGCCUACCCAGGAACGUGGCUCCUGAGCUAACGGACCUGUUUGCCUGGACAAAUUCCGCACGCUUGCUUUGGCAGGCUCUUGUUCUAGUUCCUGUGUAACCUCCUCCCACCCAUGUACUUGCUUUCCGAGAGCCUGGUGACUGUAGCGUGAAUAACCCAGCUCUGAAGUGAUGUAACAUUUUGAUUCAUACUAAAUUUCAUGACCCUU
Molecule: non-coding RNA, 1874 nt
Organism: Chelonoidis abingdonii (Abingdon island giant tortoise)
Lineage: Eukaryota; Metazoa; Chordata; Testudines; Testudinidae
Source: RefSeq, a predicted model, not a curated record